GAUGAACGCUGGCGGCGUGCCUAAUACAUGCAAGUCGAGCGAACAGAUGAGGAGCUUGCUCCUCUGACGUUAGCGGCGGACGGGUGAGUAACACGUGGAUAACCUACCUAUAAGACUGGGAUAACUUCGGGAAACCGUAGCUAAUACCGGAUAAUAUAUUGAACCGCAUGGUUCAAUGGUGAAAGACGGUUUUGCUGUCACUUAUAGAUGGAUCCGCGCCGCAUUAGCUCGUUGGUAAGGUAACGGCUUACCAAGGCAACGAUGCGUAGCCGACCUGAGAGGGUGAUCGGCCACACUGGAACUGAGACACGGUCCAGACUCCUACGGGAGGCAGCAGUAGGGAAUCUGCCGCAAUGGGCGAAAGCCUGACGGAGCAACGCCGCGUGAGUGAUGAAGGUCUUCGGAUCGUAAAACUCUGUUAUUAGGGAAGAACAAAUGUGUAAGUAACUAUGCACGUCUUGACGGUACCUAAUCAGAAAGCCACGGCUAACUACGUG
RNAcentral lists this ribosomal RNA (497 nucleotides) under uncultured bacterium. RNAcentral's name for it is "partial 16S ribosomal RNA". It matches the Rfam family "Bacterial small subunit ribosomal RNA", at positions 28 to 507 of the family's 1533-position model. The record is from RNAcentral.